UUAUCCGGAUUUACUGGGUGUAAAGGGAGCGUAGACGGCAAGGCAAGUCUGAUGUGAAAGGCUGGGGCUCAACCCCGGGACUGCAUUGGAAACUGUCCUGCUGGAGUGCCGGAGAGGUAAGCGGAAUUCCUAGUGUAGCGGUGAAAUGCGUAGAUAUUAGGAGGAACACCAGUGGCGAAGGCGGCUUACUGGACGGUAACUGACGUUGAGGCUCGAAAGCGUGGGGAGCAAACAGGAUUAGAUACCCUGGUAGUCCACGCGGUAAACGAUGAAUACUAGGUGUUGGGUGUCACAGACAUUCGGUGCCGCAGCAAACGCAAUAAGUAUUCCACCUGGGGAGUACGUUCGCCAUAAUGAAACUCCAAGGAAUUGACGGGGACCCCCAC
RNAcentral lists this ribosomal RNA (386 nucleotides) under uncultured bacterium. Its description in RNAcentral is "bacterial SSU rRNA". It matches the Rfam family "Bacterial small subunit ribosomal RNA", at positions 541 to 926 of the family's 1533-position model. The record is from RNAcentral.